AAAUUGAAGAGUUUGAUCAUGGCUCAGAUUGAACGCUGGCGGCAGGCCUAACACAUGCAAGUCGAGCGGUAGCACAGAGAGCUUGCUCUCGGGUGACGAGCGGCGGACGGGUGAGUAAUGUCUGGGAAACUGCCUGAUGGAGGGGGGAUAACUACUGGAAACGGUAGCUAAUACCGCAUAACGUCGCAAGACCAAAGUGGGGGACCUUCGGGCCUCAUGCCAUCAGAUGUGCCCAGAUGGGAUUAGCUAGUAGGUGGGGUAACGGCUCACCUAGGCGACGAUCCCUAGCUGGUCUGAGAGGAUGACCAGCCACACUGGAACUGAGACACGGUCCAGACUCCUACGGGAGGCAGCAGUGGGGAAUAUUGCACAAUGGGCGCAAGCCUGAUGCAGCCAUGCCGCGUGUGUGAAGAAGGCCUUCGGGUUGUAAAGCACUUUCAGCGGGGAGGAAGGCGGUGAGGUUAAUAACCUCAUCGAUUGACGUUACCCGCAGAAGAAGCACCGGCUAACUCCGUGCCAGCAGCCGCGGUAAUACGGAGGGUGCAAGCGUUAAUCGGAAUUACUGGGCGUAAAGCGCACGCAGGCGGUCUGUCAAGUCGGAUGUGAAAUCCCCGGGCUCAACCUGGGAACUGCAUUCGAAACUGGCAGGCUAGAGUCUUGUAGAGGGGGGUAGAAUUCCAGGUGUAGCGGUGAAAUGCGUAGAGAUCUGGAGGAAUACCGGUGGCGAAGGCGGCCCCCUGGACAAAGACUGACGCUCAGGUGCGAAAGCGUGGGGAGCAAACAGGAUUAGAUACCCUGGUAGUCCACGCCGUAAACGAUGUCGAUUUGGAGGUUGUGCCCUUGAGGCGUGGCUUCCGGAGCUAACGCGUUAAAUCGACCGCCUGGGGAGUACGGCCGCAAGGUUAAAACUCAAAUGAAUUGACGGGGGCCCGCACAAGCGGUGGAGCAUGUGGUUUAAUUCGAUGCAACGCGAAGAACCUUACCUGGUCUUGACAUCCACAGAACUUUCCAGAGAUGGAUUGGUGCCUUCGGGAACUGUGAGACAGGUGCUGCAUGGCUGUCGUCAGCUCGUGUUGUGAAAUGUUGGGUUAAGUCCCGCAACGAGCGCAACCCUUAUCCUUUGUUGCCAGCGGUCCGGCCGGGAACUCAAAGGAGACUGCCAGUGAUAAACUGGAGGAAGGUGGGGAUGACGUCAAGUCAUCAUGGCCCUUACGACCAGGGCUACACACGUGCUACAAUGGCAUAUACAAAGAGAAGCGACCUCGCGAGAGCAAGCGGACCUCAUAAAGUAUGUCGUAGUCCGGAUUGAGUCUGCAACUCGACUCCAUGAAGUCGGAAUCGCUAGUAAUCGUAGAUCAGAAUGCUACGGUGAAUACGUUCCCGGGCCUUGUACACACCGCCCGUCACACCAUGGGAGUGGGUUGCAAAAGAAGUAGGUAGCUUAACCUUCGGGAGGGCGCUUACCACUUUGUGAUUCAUGACUGGGGUGAAGUCGUAACAAGGUAACCGUAGGGGAACCUGCGGUUGGAUCACCUCCUUACCUUAAAGAA
RNAcentral lists this ribosomal RNA (1550 nucleotides) under Klebsiella pneumoniae. RNAcentral describes it as "bacterial SSU rRNA". It matches the Rfam family "Bacterial small subunit ribosomal RNA". The record is from RNAcentral. Lineage: Bacteria; Pseudomonadati; Pseudomonadota; Gammaproteobacteria; Enterobacterales; Enterobacteriaceae.